This 1493-nucleotide ribosomal RNA is filed under the name Myxus elongatus (sand grey mullet). Its description in RNAcentral is "partial 16S ribosomal RNA". It matches the Rfam family "Bacterial large subunit ribosomal RNA", at positions 173 to 2580 of the family's 2925-position model. Lineage: Eukaryota; Metazoa; Chordata; Actinopteri; Mugiliformes; Mugilidae. The record is from RNAcentral.
CCUAACAGCUAGCCCAUAAACACACCCAACCCUCACCUACCCAUAACCCCUCAUGCACUGAGACCAGUAACCAAACCAUUUUUCCCCCUAAGUAUGGGCGACAGAAAAGGAAAUUAGGAGCAACAGAAAAAGUACCGCAAGGGAACGCUGAAAGAGAAAUGAAAUAACCCAAUAAAGCUAAAAAAAGCAGAGACUUCCCCUCGUACCUUUUGCAUCAUGAUUUAGCAAGUACACCCAAGCAAAAAGUAUUUUAGUUUGGCCCCCCGAAACUAAGUGAGCUACUCCAAGACAACCUAUAAUUAGGGUAAACCCGUCUCUGUGGCAAAAGAGUGGGAAGAGCUUUGAGUAGAGGUGACAGACCUACCGAACUUAGUUAUAGCUGGUUGCUUGAGAAACGAAUAGGAGUUCUGCUUCUUAUAUUCUUACUCCCGCCCUGGUUAUUUAUAGCCUACCCAUAGGUAAAAGAAAAUAAGAAAGUUAAUCGAAGAGGGUACAGCCCCUUUGAGACAAGACACAACUUUUCCAGGAGGGUAAAGAUCAUAAUUUCUUAAGGUGCCUAUGUUUUGGUGGGCCUAAAAGCAGCCAUCCCAUUAGAAAGCGUUAAAGCUCUGACAUAUCAUCUCCUUUAAUCCCGAUAAUAAAUCUUAACCCCCUAGACAUAUCAAGCUGUCCCAUAAAAACAUGGGAAUAAUUAUGCUAAAAUGAGUAAUCAGAGAACAAAAUCUCUCUCCUUGCACAUGUGUAAAUCGGAACGGACCCCCCACCGAAACUUAACGGCCCCAAACAAAGAGGGUACUAGAUGAUAAACAACAAACUAGAAAAUCAUCCAAAAUCUUACCGUUAACCCCACACUGGUGUUCUUCUAAGGAAAGACUAAAAGGAAAAGAAGGAACUCGGCAAAUACACCCAAGCCUCGCCUGUUUACCAAAAACAUCGCCUCUUGUCAAAUUACACAUAAGAGGUCCCGCCUGCCCGGUGACGCCUAGUUUAACGGCCGCGGUAUUUUGACCGUGCAAAGGUAGCGCAAUCACUUGUCCCUUAAAUGAGGACCUGUAUGAAAGGCAUAACGAGGGCUUAACUGUCUCCUUUUCCCAGUCAAUGAAAUUGAUCUUCCCGUGCAGAAGCGGGAAUACUAACAUAAGACGAGAAGACCCUAUGGAGCUUUAGACACUAGAACAGACCAUGUCAGCUAUUUCUCAAACAAAUAACAAUUAUUGAACCUCUGUUCCCUUGUCUUUGGUUGGGGUGACCACGGGGAAGAAAAAAACCCCCAUGUGGACCGGGAGCUCAACUGCUCUCCUAACUACGAGCCACAGCUCUAACGCACAGAAUUUCUGACCAAAAAUGAUCCGGCAAAGCCGAUUAACGAACCUAGUUACCCUAGGGAUAACAGCGCAAUCCCCUUUAAGAGCCCAUAUCGACAAGGGGGUUUACGACCUCGAUGUUGGAUCAAGACAUCCUAAUGGUGCAGCCGCUAUUAAGGGUUCGUUUGU